GAAAUGCGAUAAGUAAUGUGAAUUGCAGAAUUCAGUGAAUCAUCGAAUCUUUGAACGCAUCUUGCGCUCCUUGGUAUUCCUUGGAGCAUGCCUGUUUGAGUAUCGUGAAAUCUUCAAAGUAAAUCUUUUGUUAACUCAAUUGGUUUCUACUUUGGUAUUGGAGGUCUUUGCAGCUUCACACCUGCUCCUCUUUGUUCAUUAGCUGGAUCUCAGUGUUAUGCUUGGUUCCACUCGGCGUGAUAAGUUAUCUAUCGCUGAGGACACUGUAAAAGGUGGCCAAGGUAAAUGCAGAUGAACCGCUUCUAAUAGUCCAUUGACUUGGACAAUACUUUUAUGAUCUGAUCUCAAAUCAGGUAGGACUACCCGCUGAACUUAAGC
RNAcentral lists this unclassified non-coding RNA (378 nucleotides) under plant metagenome. Its description in RNAcentral is "partial contains 5.8S ribosomal RNA, internal transcribed spacer 2, and large subunit ribosomal RNA". The stretch from base 1 to 105 matches the Rfam family "5.8S ribosomal RNA", at positions 50 to 154 of the family's 154-position model. The record is from RNAcentral.